UACGUAGGUGGCAAGCGUUGUCCGGAAUUAUUGGGCGUAAAGCGCGCGCAGGCGGUCCUUUAAGUCUGAUGUGAAAGCCCACGGCUCAACCGUGGAAGGUCAUUGGAAACUGGGGGACUUGAGUACAGAAGAGGAAAGCGGAAUUCCAAGUGUAGCGGUGAAAUGCGUAGAGAUUUGGAGGAACACCAGUGGCGAAGGCGGCUUUCUGGUCUGUAACUGACGCUGAGGCGCGAAAGCGUGGGGAGCAAACAGGG
Molecule: ribosomal RNA, 254 nt
Filed under: uncultured bacterium
Lineage: Bacteria
Description: partial 16S ribosomal RNA
Rfam family: Bacterial small subunit ribosomal RNA
Source: RNAcentral